Molecule: ribosomal RNA, 183 nt
Filed under: uncultured bacterium
Lineage: Bacteria
Description: partial 16S ribosomal RNA
Rfam family: Bacterial small subunit ribosomal RNA
Source: RNAcentral
CACGAAGUCGGAAUUGCUAGUAAUCGUAGGUCAGCAUACUACGGUGAAUACGUUCCCGGGCCUUGUACACACCGCCCGUCAAACCAUGAGAGUUGGCAACACCCGAAGUCGGUAGUCUAACCGCAAGGAGGACGCCGCCGAAGGUGGGGGUUGAUGAUUAGGGUUAAGUCGUAACAAGGUACC